RNAcentral lists this ribosomal RNA (1488 nucleotides) under Persinema komarekii. Its description in RNAcentral is "16S ribosomal RNA". It matches the Rfam family "Bacterial small subunit ribosomal RNA". The record is from RNAcentral. Lineage: Bacteria; Bacillati; Cyanobacteriota; Cyanophyceae; Nodosilineales; Persinemataceae.
GGUAUGCUUAACACAUGCAAGUCGAACGGAGUACUUCGGUACUUAGUGGCGGACGGGUGAGUAACGCGUGAGAAUCUACCUUUAGGACGGGGACAACAAUUGGAAACGAUUGCUAAUACCCGAUAUGCCCUUCGGGGUGAAAUGUUUUUUCGCCUAAAGAUGAGCUCGCGUCCGAUUAGCUAGUAGGUAGUGUAAUGGACUACCUAGGCGAUGAUCGGUAGCUGGUUUGAGAGGACAAUCAGCCACACUGGGACUGAGACACGGCCCAGACUCCUACGGGAGGCAGCAGUGGGGAAUUUUCCGCAAUGGGCGCAAGCCUGACGGAGCAAUACCGCGUGGGGGAGGAAGGUCUGUGGAUUGUAAACCCCUUUUCUCAGGGAAGAAGCUCUGACGGUACCUGAGGAAUCAGCAUCGGCUAACUCCGUGCCAGCAGCCGCGGUAAUACGGAGGAUGCAAGCGUUAUCCGGAAUUAUUGGGCGUAAAGCGUCCGCAGGCGGCUAGAUAAGUCUGCUUUCAAAGAGUGGGGCUCAACCCCAUAAGGGGAGUGGAAACUGUUUAGCUAGAGUAUGGUAGGGGCAGAGGGAAUUCCCAGUGUAGCGGUGAAAUGCGUAGAUAUUGGGAAGAACACCAGUGGCGAAGGCGCUCUGCUGGACCGAGACUGACGCUGAGGGACGAAAGCUAGGGGAGCGAAAGGGAUUAGAUACCCCUGUAGUCCUAGCUGUAAACGAUGGACACUAGGUGUUGCGCGUAUCGACCCGUGCAGUGCCGUAGCUAACGCGUUAAGUGUCCCGCCUGGGGAGUACGCACGCAAGUGUGAAACUCAAAGGAAUUGACGGGGGCCCGCACAAGCGGUGGAGUAUGUGGUUUAAUUCGAUGCAACGCGAAGAACCUUACCAGGGUUUGACAUCCCUCGAAUCUCGGCGAAAGUUGAGAGUGCCUUCGGGAGCGAGGAGACAGGUGGUGCAUGGCUGUCGUCAGCUCGUGUCGUGAGAUGUUGGGUUAAGUCCCGCAACGAGCGCAACCCACGUUUUCAGUUGCCAGCAUUAAGUUGGGGACUCUGGAGAGACUGCCGGUGACAAACCGGAGGAAGGUGUGGACGACGUCAAGUCAUCAUGCCCCUUACAUCCUGGGCUACACACGUACUACAAUGGUUAGGACAAAGGGCAGCGAAGCCGCGAGGUGGAGCAAAACUCAUAAACCUAGCCUCAGUUCAGAUUGCAGGCUGCAACUCGCCUGCAUGAAGGAGGAAUCGCUAGUAAUCGCAGGUCAGCAUACUGCGGUGAAUACGUUCCCGGGCCUUGUACACACCGCCCGUCACGCCAUGGGAGUUGGCCACGCCCGAAGUCGUUACCCUAACCGUUCGCGGAGGGGGACGCCGAAGGUGGGGCUGAUGACUGGGGUGAAGUCGUAACAAGGUAGCCGUACCGGAAGGUGUGGCUGGAUCACCUCCUUAAGGGAGACCUUACCCACUUUCAGCCGAAAGCACAA